UGAGGCGUGGUGUAAUGGCAACACGCUUGACUCUGACUCAAGCUUUCCUGGUUCGAGUCCAGGCGCCUCAGCCA
RNAcentral lists this transfer RNA (74 nucleotides) under Gammaproteobacteria bacterium. Its description in RNAcentral is "tRNA-Gln". It matches the Rfam family "tRNA". From Rfam's summary of the family: Transfer RNA (tRNA) molecules are approximately 80 nucleotides in length. Their secondary structure includes four short double-helical elements and three loops (D, anti-codon, and T loops). Further hydrogen bonds mediate the characteristic L-shaped molecular structure. tRNAs have two regions of fundamental functional importance: the anti-codon, which is responsible for specific mRNA codon recognition, and the 3' end, to which the tRNAs corresponding amino acid is attached (by aminoacyl-tRNA synthetases). tRNAs cope with the degeneracy of the genetic code in two manners: having more than one tRNA (with a specific anti-codon) for a particular amino acid; and 'wobble' base-pairing, i.e. permitting non-standard base-pairing at the 3rd anti-codon position. Lineage: Bacteria; Pseudomonadati; Pseudomonadota; Gammaproteobacteria. RNAcentral also lists the same sequence under 1 other name. The record is from RNAcentral.